UACGUAGGGUGCAAGCGUUUGUCCGGAAUUAUUGGGCGUAAAGCGCGUGUAGGCGGUUCGGUAAGUCUGCUGUGAAAGUCCAGGGCUCAACCCUGGGAUGCCGGUGGAUACUGUCGGACUAGGAGUACGGAAGAGGCGAGUGGAAUUCCCCGGUGUAGCGGUGAAAUGCGCAGAUAUCGGGAGGAACACCAAUUGCGAAGGCAGCUCGCUGG
RNAcentral lists this ribosomal RNA (212 nucleotides) under uncultured bacterium. RNAcentral describes it as "partial 16S ribosomal RNA". It matches the Rfam family "Bacterial small subunit ribosomal RNA", at positions 524 to 732 of the family's 1533-position model. The record is from RNAcentral.